GUGAGUCAUCGAAUCUUUGAACGCACAUUGCGCCCUUUGGCUAUUCCGAGGGGCAUACCUGUUCGAGCGUCAUUUAAACCAUCGAGCCUCGCUCGGUAUUGGGCGCGGCCUCCGUGGCCCGCCUGCAACCCGUCGGCGGCACGGCCCGGCUUCAAGCGUAGCAAGAAUCCUCGCUUUGGAGCCGCGGUCGGCGCCUGCCACGCGAACCAUUUUAAAAGUUUGACCUCGGAUCAGGUAGGGAUACCCGCUGAACUUAAGCAUAUCAAUAAGCGGAGGA
RNAcentral lists this unclassified non-coding RNA (277 nucleotides) under Hysteriales sp. RNAcentral describes it as "partial contains 5.8S ribosomal RNA, internal transcribed spacer 2, and large subunit ribosomal RNA". The stretch from base 1 to 72 matches the Rfam family "5.8S ribosomal RNA", at positions 84 to 154 of the family's 154-position model. Lineage: Eukaryota; Fungi; Ascomycota; Dothideomycetes; Hysteriales. The record is from RNAcentral.